RNAcentral lists this ribosomal RNA (253 nucleotides) under uncultured bacterium. RNAcentral describes it as "partial 16S ribosomal RNA". It matches the Rfam family "Bacterial small subunit ribosomal RNA", at positions 524 to 776 of the family's 1533-position model. The record is from RNAcentral.
UACGUAGGGGGCGAGCGUUGUCCGGAUUUAUUGGGCGUAAAGAGCGUGUAGGCGGCCAGGUAGGUCUGCUGUGAAAACUCGAGGCUCAACCUCGAGACGUCGGCGGAAACCAUCUGGCUAGAGUCCGGAAGAGGAGAGUGGAGUUCCUGGUGUAGCGGUGAAAUGCGUAGAUAUCAGGAGGAACACCUGUGGUGUAGACGGCUUUCUGGACCAUUGCUGACGCUGAGACACGAAAGCGUGGGUAGCAAACAGG